UGGGUAACCUACCUCAAAGAGGGGAAUAGCCUCCCGAAAGGGAGAUUAAUACCGCAUAAUAUGUUUAAGUCGCAUGACUUUAACAUCAAAGGAUUUUCUUUUAGAACUUCCACUUUGAGAUGGACCCGCGGCGCAUUAGCUAGUUGGUGAGGUAACGGCUCACCAAGGCAACGAUGCGUAGCCGACCUGAGAGGGUGAUCGGCCACAUUGGAACUGAGACACGGUCCAGACUCCUACGGGAGCAG
RNAcentral lists this ribosomal RNA (245 nucleotides) under uncultured bacterium. RNAcentral describes it as "partial 16S ribosomal RNA". It matches the Rfam family "Bacterial small subunit ribosomal RNA", at positions 118 to 347 of the family's 1533-position model. The record is from RNAcentral.